RNAcentral lists this small RNA (148 nucleotides) under Macaca fascicularis (crab-eating macaque). RNAcentral's name for it is "Metazoan signal recognition particle RNA (ENSMFAG00000055446.1)". It matches the Rfam family "Metazoan signal recognition particle RNA". Rfam says of the family: The signal recognition particle (SRP) is a universally conserved ribonucleoprotein. Lineage: Eukaryota; Metazoa; Chordata; Mammalia; Primates; Cercopithecidae. The record is from Rfam by way of RNAcentral.
GCUGGGUGUGGUGGCGCAUGCCUGUAGUCCCAGCUGCUCAGGAGGCUGAGGCAGGAGAAUCACUUGAACCCAGGAGGCAGAGGUUGCAGUGAACAGAAAUCACAUCACUGCACUCCAGCCUGGGUUACAGAGUGAGACUCUGUCUCAA